Small nucleolar RNA from Neopelma chrysocephalum (saffron-crested tyrant-manakin), 78 nucleotides. The record is from RefSeq and is a predicted model, not a curated record. Lineage: Eukaryota; Metazoa; Chordata; Aves; Passeriformes; Pipridae.
UCUCUCUGAUGUCUCAAUAGGUCUUCCUUACCCUUACCCCUCAGUAGAAUAGAAGGGAAGAGACCUAUGGCUGAGAGA